GGGCCUGUAGCUUAGUUGGUAGAGCGCCGCAUUCGCAUUGCGGAGAUCACCGGUUCGACUCCGGUCAGGUCCA
Molecule: transfer RNA, 73 nt
Filed under: Patescibacteria group bacterium
Lineage: Bacteria
Description: tRNA-Ala
Rfam family: tRNA
About the family: Transfer RNA (tRNA) molecules are approximately 80 nucleotides in length. Their secondary structure includes four short double-helical elements and three loops (D, anti-codon, and T loops). Further hydrogen bonds mediate the characteristic L-shaped molecular structure. tRNAs have two regions of fundamental functional importance: the anti-codon, which is responsible for specific mRNA codon recognition, and the 3' end, to which the tRNAs corresponding amino acid is attached (by aminoacyl-tRNA synthetases). tRNAs cope with the degeneracy of the genetic code in two manners: having more than one tRNA (with a specific anti-codon) for a particular amino acid; and 'wobble' base-pairing, i.e. permitting non-standard base-pairing at the 3rd anti-codon position.
Source: RNAcentral